This 497-nucleotide ribosomal RNA is filed under the name uncultured bacterium. Its description in RNAcentral is "partial 16S ribosomal RNA". It matches the Rfam family "Bacterial small subunit ribosomal RNA", at positions 28 to 507 of the family's 1533-position model. The record is from RNAcentral.
GAUGAACGCUGGCGGCGUGCCUAAUACAUGCAAGUCAAGCGAACAGACGAGGAGCUUGCUCCUCUGACGUUAGCGGCGGACGGGGGAGUAAAACGUGGAUAACCUACCUAUAAGACUGGGAUAACUUCGGGAAACCGGAGCUAAUACCGGAUAAUAUAUUGAACCGCAUGGUUAAUUAGUGAAAGACGGUUUUGCUGUCACUUAUAGAUGGAUCCGCGCCGCAUUAGCUAGUUGGUAAGGUAACGGCUUACCAAGGCAACGAUGCGUAGCCGACCUAAGAGGGUGAUCGGCCACACUGGAACUGAGACACGGUCCAGACUCCUACGGGAGGCAGCAGUAGGGAAUCUUCCGCAAUGGGCGAAAGCCUGACGGAGCAACGCCGCGUGAGUGAUGAAGGUCUUCGGAUCGUAAAACUCUGUUAUUAGGGAAGAACAAAUGUGUAAGUAACUAUGCACGUCUUGACGGUACCUAAUCAGAAAGCCACGGCUAACUACGUG